RNAcentral lists this long non-coding RNA (11901 nucleotides) under Homo sapiens (human). RNAcentral's name for it is "non-protein coding lnc-ZNF131-4:8". The record is from RNAcentral. Lineage: Eukaryota; Metazoa; Chordata; Mammalia; Primates; Hominidae.
AGACCGGUGUUUGUCCUAAGUCGGAACUUGAUUGGGCUGAGAAAUCACAUUGUGACUAUUCCACGACUUGAACAAGGGGUAGAAAUCGCAGGCACCGCGAAAUAGAAACUUCCUAGGACCAAGAAGCCAACGACGCCCGAAACCGUGGGGUCCUGUCACAGAAACCCCAGCAGCGCAGCCACCGGACUGGGUUCUGGAGGCCGAGCCGCAGUCCGUGCGGCGGCGCUGGGAAGAGAAGGCGCCCCGGCAGCUCCCCUGCCACCGGCCCCGAGGAGCGGCUGGCUCCCCCAGCCCAGCGCCGCCGCCGCCCGGUAACUCCAGGCGCAACUGGGCGCAACUGGGGCAGCUGCGACACCGAAUCCCUCACAUCUGCAACCUGGGUGCUGCGGCCACUGAGAAAAUGGAGGCGCAGACCAACGAGCGGUGCCGCGACCGAGAGACCUCGGCUGGCGAAAUGGUGGUGCCGGGAGCCUGCGAGUGACGCCAGCCGGCGGGGUUGUCAAGGACAACAUUCGUUUUGACGCAGCCAAUGGCGCCGUCACCAAGAAACCAUCGACUCUGAGAAAAAAGAGAGGUUCGGCCACCGAGAAACUCCGUACGACAAGUGCUGUGGCAGAAAAACCGCCUACUCCGCGCCACAGGCAAAACAGCCAAUGGAAACCCCAGGUGCUGCGACCGUGACACCGGCACUAGAGGGUCUCGGAUGGAGAAAGCGGCGCACGGAGACCAGGAAACUAUGUGUAGCACAACUAGCAGAAAACCGUCUGGUCGGCCAUCCGGGAGAAAGCGCGGAUCAGAAACAAGCGACUUCGAUGCAGGGAACCGCGCAGCCACUGAAGAAAGUGACCCACGUGGCAGUGGUGCCAGCGAAACACUGCAGUUUGGACGGCAGCUGUGGGGAUGCCACAGAGAAACAUGCACUGCCACUGAAGUACAUCCAGCUCCGCGGAGCUAGUGUUCAUAUGAUCAAGAAACCGCCAGUUGGGCUCUGCUAGAAACUUUUAGUCCUCCCUUAACGGCUAUCCUACCCACAACAGACAAUGCCUUUACCCAGCACCUAGCGGUGCUGAGACCCGCCUGGGCCAGCACAGAGCGCAGAGCAGUACGGGUACGGAGAAACGCCGGACUCAGUGAAACCAGCCUUGCCUCCAGCGGAUUCCCCGGCUUCGCCGGACGCCACAGGCAGAGUGCCGCGGGGAAACCUCUGGCUCCCUAAACCGAUUAGAUUGUGGGAGUGGGGGGGACACUCACAAGUUGUGUGGAAGGGAACCAGCGGCAAUGGGACCCGGCGAGCACUUGCCCGCAGCAAAUGCCUGCGCUGCUGCAAAAAAAACAACUUUUGGCGCAAAGAAUGUUGCGGCCAGAGAGCAUCCGCUGUCGCUGACAAAGGAGUAGCAAUGGCAAUGAGAAACCGCCGGCGCCACGGCCGACCGCGGCGGCUCACGCCUAUGAUCCUUGCAGUUUGGGAGGCCGAGGUGGGCGCAUUACUUGAGAUCAGGAGACUAGCCUGGCCAACAAGGUGAAACCCCAUCUCUACUAAAAUACAAAAGAUUAGCCGGUUGUGGUGGCAGGCACCUGUAAUCCCAGCUACUCCGGAGGCUGAGGCAGAAGAAUCGAUUGAACUCAGGAGGCAGAGGUUGCAGUGAGCCAAGAUCGCGCCACUGCACUCCAGCCUGGGAGACAGAGUGAGCUCCGUCUCAAAAAAAAGAAAGAAACCGCUGGCGCCGGGAAAGGAGCCGUGCAGCGAUGGACCCAUGGUGCGCUCCGUGCUACCAAAGUGCUGUGGCCUCUACCCACUCUCGAUUCCCAAGGCUGUUUUUCGGGCUUAGGGAAGUCUGUUAUAUUUUUAUUUCUGCUUCUUUCUUUUCUUUCUUUUAUUUCUUUCUUUCUUUUUCUUUCUUUCAUUCUUUCUUUUUCUUUUUCUUUCUUCUUUCCUUUCUUUCUCUCUUUCCUUUUUUUCUUUUUCUCUUUAUUUCUUUUUUCUUUAUUUUUUUUUUUAACAGUAUCUUGCUCUGUUGCCCAGGCUGGUGCAGUGGCGUGAUCACUGCUCAGUGCAGCCUCGCCUUCUUGGGCUCCAGCUAUCCUCCCGCCUCAGCCUGUGGAGCAGCUGGGACCACAGGUGCGCGACACCACACCCGACUAAUUUUUUGUAGUUUUUGUAGGGUCUCGUUUUGUUGCCUAGGCUGUUCUCGAACUCCUGAGCUCAAGCAGUCCGUCCGCCUGGGCGGACUAAUAUCACAAAGCGCUAGAAUCACAGGCAUGAGCCACCGUGCUGGGAGGGAAGUCUGUAUUGUUGCUGCGUUCAACCCAGUGCAUAGUGCAUGAGAAGAGGAGGCAGUUUAGGGGCCCAGAACCAAGCGGAUGGGGCUGGUUGCAGGAACAAAGUAAAAACCAUUCUGAUUGCCAACAGCUGCCUACGCAGGAAACACCCUUCCAACCUCCGUGGCGGGGCUCUCCCAGGCCACCCCUCGGUCCCAGAGUCUCCUCCCCGUCCAGAGCUCUCAGGAUCCUACAGAAGGGGCGGACAACUCUUCCCUUCCAAACUGGAAAGUCGGCCUAGGUUUCCGAGGAUAAUGAAAGGCACAGCGUUUUUUGACCUCGACUUCAGGCCUGACCCCCCACUCUCUCGGUCCCGUACCUCUUCUGCGGGAUGUAACUCUGUGGGAACCGCUCCUUUAUUCUGAUGAUUAACUGUCUGAUAUCCUUGAUAUUUGGGGAUAGUAGAUGAAAGAGAGCAGGAGAGAAAAAUGGACGGCAAGACUCCAGCUCAGAAGGUGGGAAUGAUGGCAAAAGUCCGCUACCUCUCCAAGCCCAAUAAACAUCUCAAACUGCUCUACACUUUUCUGUACCCUUGAUCUGUGAAAUGGAUCACUGACGUUUUCUGUCUUUCGGGAAAUGCAAAGCAGGCGAAUUUUCAAGCGCUUGAAUUCCCUCUUUUUCCUACUUUUCAGUCAGAGUGGAGCUAAAAACUCCUUCCCCAUAGGAAAUAUGGAACUGCCUCUGCCCGGAAGAAAAACGUCCCUUUUCCCUAAGCUUUCACAUUUCCCGAAAAAUCUACACAUCCGCAUGAAAUCCUCACAAGAGACCUACAGACCCUACCGGGAGCGUUCCUGUCACUACAAAAAAUUUAAAAAUUAGCCGGAUGCGGUCGCGGGUGCCUGUAGUCCCAGGUACCAGGGAGGCUGAGGUGGGAGGAUCUCUUGAGCCCAGGAGGUCCAGGAUGCAGUUAACGAUGAUCCUAAGACCACGAGGCAAUUGGAGGAUCCUCAAAUACCAGGGAGAAACUAGCUAGCAGACAUAGUAUGGUGGGAGGGGAAGAUCAAGGCAAAUGCCUUGGGAGUGGGUGAGAAUUGCGACUUCAUAUUGGAUCUCCUGACCUGUGAAGGCCCUUUUCUAGGCUCCUCUGGACCUGUCCUCUGCCCAGGUUCAACCAGAAAAGGAUGGAGUUUGUUGCAUGGUAUCAUCAGGGUGAGGUUGGGAGAUGAUGCGGGAACGCUCAUCCCUGGUCUUAGGAACGGGAGAACAAAGGAAAAAUGGCAUCAUUUCCACCUAAAAAGUUACAAGCACUUCACCAGAAGGAACAGCCCAGGCGGAGCCUUUGUAAAAGAAAAGCCCCACCCACUGCUUCGCACUCCUCAUUUCCACCCAGCAGAGCAUUUUAGUGACAAAGCUGAGCGGGAGCCAGAGUUCACUCCUGUAAUCCCAGCACUUUGGGAGGCCCAGGCGGGAGGAUCACUUUAACCCACGCGUUCAGGACCAUCCGAAGCACAUAGCAAGACCGUGCCACUACAAAAAAUUUAAAAAAUUAGCGGGAUGCAGUCGCGGGUGCCUGUAGUCCCAGCUACCAAGGAGGCUGACGUGGGAGGAUCUCUUGAGCCCAGGAGGUCCAGGCUGCAGUGAACGAUGAUCCUUCACGGCACCACUGCACUCCAGCCUGGGUGACAGACUGAGACUUUGUCUCAAAAAAUAAAAUGAAAUAAAAAUACAGCCGAGAUUAGGAACUCUUUAAGAAGGGGUCACCUGAGACAUUAUUAGUAUACCAUUAACAGGAGAAAAUGCUGCAAAUUAAAGUAUCAUAAUGGUAGGAGGCUACCCAUUUAAAAAUAUAUACCUGUUUCAGAGACACUAAAGUGAGAAAAAAUUUACUCUAGAAUUGAUUAAAUUCAGAUAUCCACUGCUUUAUUUUAAACCUUAAGUGCCAUUUUAGUUUAUUUACCUCUUAGAAAUAGCAUGGAGAUUGGAGUUGUAAUUUUUUAAUAUUUAUUUAUUUAUUUAUUUAGAGACAGAGUCUGGCUCUGUUGCCCAGGCUGGAGUGCAGUGGUGUGAUCUCAGCUCACUGCAGCCUCUGCCUCCCGGGUUCAAGCUAUUCUGAGGCCUCAUAUCUGGGAACCUGCCCCAAUAGUCACAUAGGUUCUUUUCUAUUUUCCCUAAGCAUCGGCCGGUUUGAGAAAUAAAGGGACAGAGUACAAAAGAGAGAAAUUCUAAAGCUGGGUGUCUAGGGGAGACCUCACAUGUCAGUAGGUUCUGUGAUGCCCCACAAGCUGUAAAACCAGCAAGUUUUUAUUAGGGACUUUCGAAAGGGGAGGGAGUGUACGAAUAGGGUGUGGGUCACAAAGAUCACAUACUUCACAAGGUAAUAGAAUAUCACAAGGCAAAUGGAGGCAGGGCGAGAUCACAGGACCACAGGACCGGGGUGAAAUUCAAAUUGCUAAUGAAGUUUUGGGCACCAUUGUCAUUGAUAACAUCUUAUCAGGAGACAGGGUUUUGAGAGCAACUGGUCUGACCAAAAUUUAUUAGGCGGGAAUUUCCCCUUCCUGAUAAGCCUGGGAGCACUAUGGGAGACUGGGGUUUAUUUCAUCCCUACAGUCUCGACCAUAGAAGACGGCCACACCCAAGGGGGGCAUCUAUAGACCCACCCUCAGGUGCGUAUUCUCUUUCCCAGGGAUGUUCCUUGCUGAGAAAAAGAAUUCAGCAAUAUUUCUUCCAUUUGCUUUUGAAAGAAGAGAAAUAUGGCUCUGUUCCGCCUGGCUUUUUCCCAGCGGUCAGAGUUUAAGGUUAUCUCUCUUGUUUCCUAAACAUUGCUGUUAUACUGUUCUUUUUUCAAGGUGCCCAGAUUUCAUACUGUUUAAACACACAUGCUCUACAAUUUGUGGAGUUAAUGCAAUUAUCACAGGGUCCUGAGGCGACAUACAUUCUCCUCGGCUUACGAGAUGACAGGAUUAAGAGAUUAAAGUAAAGACAGGCAUAGGAAAUCACAAGGGCAUUGAUUGGAGAAGAGAUAAGUGUCCUUGAAAUCUUCACAAUUUAUGUUUAGAGAUUGCAGUAAAGAUAGGCAUAAGAAAUUAUAAAAGUAUUAAUUUGGGGAACUAAUAAACGUCCAUGAAAUCUUCACAAUCCACGUUCUUCUGCCAUGGCUUCGGCCGGUCCCUCCUUUUGGGGUCCCUGACUUCCCGCUACAGCCUCAGCCUCCCAAGUAGCGGGGAUUACAGGCACCAGCCACAAUGCUCAGCAAUUUUUUUGUAUUUUUAGUAGAGAGGGGGUCUCGCCAUUUUGUCCAGUCUGGUCUUGAACUCCUGACUUCUAUAUGAUUGUAUUUGUUUUUUCACAAUGUAGUUCAAUACAUUGAAAUGGUUGGGCAAGUGGCAAAAUCAUAUUCCUCACUCCUCUGGUUUUUUAUAAGGUUCAAUUUAUCAUAAAUACUUUCCACUUCUUGCCUCAUCUUUUACUUCUCCUCACAUAUUGAGUGGUUCAUGGCACAAAAAUCAUUAUUUGUGACAGACACUGUGCCAACUGUAUUUUGUGCUUUAUCUGAUUUCAUUCUCAACUGAAAACUGCGGCAAGCACAUGCUUUGUACUGGGCUUGCUUCUCAUUUCCAUUUUGUAGAUACACACCCUCACUUAGGGAAGUAUGAGUUUGUACAGCUCUGCCUGUGGCUGAAUAGAUAAAUGUAAUUUUACCAUUCAGUGUUAAAUCAACUUUUAGUGUAAAUUUAAGGCCCAUCUUCUAACAUAGGGGUACGUGUGAUUUUACUGUGUCCCUUCUCCCUAACACUCCAGUUCAAGAUAGCAACCUAAAUUCUGAGUUGAUUAUUCUGGACACACUCCCUCAAAAUGCGACUGUAAGACACCAGAAUACACCACCCCAGUAUGCCAAUAUAUCAAUAUACCUCUGGCGUAUUGAUUAUUUCAGGCCAGGCAUGGUGGCUCACACCUGUAAUCCUAGUGCUUUGAGAGGCCAGGAGUUCAUGAGCAGCCUGGGCAUGUAGGGAGACCCAUCUCUAUAAAAAUAUUUUUAAAAGAUUAGCUGGGCAUGGUGGCAUGUGCCUGUAGUCUUAGCUGCUGGGGAGGCUAAGGCAGGAGGAUGGCUUGAGCCCAGGAGUUUGAAGUUGCAGUGAACUCUGAUUGCACCACUGCAUUCUAGCCUGGGUGACAGAGUAAGACGCUAUCUCUUAAAAAACAAAACAAAACACUCACGCCUGUAAUCCCAGCACAUUGAGAGGCCAAGGUGGGCAGAUCACUUGAGGUCAGGAGUUUGAGACCAGCCUGGCCAACAUGGUGAAACCCCGUUUCUACUAAAAAUACCAAAAUGAGCCAGGCGUGGUGGCACGCAGCUGUAAUCUCAGCUACUUGAGAGGCUGAGGUGGGAGAAUUGUUUAAACCCAGGAGGCAGAGGUUGCAGUGAGCCAAGAUCGCACCAAACCACUCCAGGCUGGGCAACAGAGCAAGACUCCAUCUCAAACAAAACAAAACGAGAUGAGAGAAAAACCUCAACCUGUACACCUCUUUAUGACAGAACAACACAGAAAGAGAAAGACAAAGAAAAGACUACUCUAGGAGGAAAUGGAUGAAACAAUAUGAUUCUUACCACAAAGUACCAGAAAGUACACCAUAGUCAAUACACCAGCACUGGUCACACAAAUCCUUUUCUCCCAUCAGUCAAAAUUUUGGACAGGAAAAAUGAACAGAGUGAUAUUUACUGUCUACUUGACCAAAUUCCACAGAGAGGGGCCUGGAAUCUGACUGGCAUCCUCAUUAUCUUUUCAAUACAGAUUGAAUUAUUGGGGAUUCAGACAGCAGAGGAAAAAAGUCAAAGCAUAUAAGGUAAGCAGAGCAGCAUAUUUUAUUGGUCUGGCUUCCCUAGGAAGCAUUAGCUAAAGUGAAAACUUAUGUGAGACUUUUUAAUUCAAAAGUAGUUUUUUUUUUUAAGAAAGUGGAAUUUAAGAGAGGGAAGUGGAACAGGAAGGGGUAAGGGGCAAUUCAAUGCUGUGCUACCUCAUUGGCCCAUGUGGGGUAUCAUGCAGGGCCACAGGCAAAUUAACCAUGCAGGUAAGGAAGCUUAGCUUUUAGGAGUCCUUCGAACAGGUCUGUAAUUUUGUACUGUAAAUUUUUAUUCUUUUUUUUUUUUUUGAGUUGGAGUCUCACUCUGUCGCCCAGGCUGGAGUGCAGUGGCAUGAUCUCGGCUCACUGCAACCUCCACCUCCCAGAUUCAAGUGAUUCUUGUGCCUCAGCCUCCCAGUAGCUGGGAUUACAGAUGCCUACCACCAUGCCCGGCUAAUUUUUGUAUUUUUAGUAGAGACAGAGUUUUGCCACAUUGGUCAGGCUGGUUUUGAACUCCUGACCUCAGGAGAUCCACCUGCCUUGGCCUCCCAAAGUGCUGGGAUUACUGGCGUGAGCCACGGCACCCGACCAUCUUUUUUAAAAAGAGAAUCCUCUACUACUUGUGUGAACAUUAGGUUCUACGAACUGAACCCACCCUGAACAUAACUGUUUGCUUGAUCACAUGGAACCAUCUUCUGGGAAGCCCUGACUAUGACUGCUUCUAAGAAUAAUCCAUUUAGAAGGAAAGAAAGGAGAAGAAUAUAUCCACUGUGGGAGAAAUAAAACAAUCCUGACCACGAAAAGGCCCCUGACUACCCAGUGGAGAGAGAGAACACUAAUUGAGUUAGCCUUAACAGAUUUACAUGCAUGUAAGGUAGCAUGACAACAACUAUAAAGCUGGGCCAUAUCUCAUGUGUUUUGAGCAGAGCCUCAGGAAUUAUGAGAACUUCUUUUACUGCUUCAAAAGAAAAGAAGGCACACUUUGUGACAGUUUCCUGUAUACUGAGAGACCCUCAGCUCAUCCUGUGAGUAAGAAUUGUCACUUCCUGACAGGACCAGGAACAUCAGGAUAUUUGGAGAAUCUUAACAAAAGGAGAAUUCAUCCAAAUCUCUAGGUAUUGCAGGCAAAGUAUGAUAGCAAGAUCCUGGUUUGGUUUCCUAGCAUCUGGACGCUUUUAAAAGUCUAAUUUGAGAUUCCUUAUGAAAAUGUCCAGGAUUAAUGUCACCAGCCAGGUUCCUAACCUAUGUGGAACACCCAGGGCCAGAAGAGUCUAAAAUUGCAAAAGCUCGUGGCUCCUGAGUCCAAGAGUUCCUGGUUUUCCUGGACACAAGCGAUAGCGCAGCACUUUCUUCCCCAUGUGCCAGAGGCCUAGGGUUCUGCAGAAGAGGCCCCAAGGCCCCAGACGCUGCAAGCCCUAAGCUCAGUAUAUUCUAGGCCCUGUCCUCUCACUUUCUAUUUCUUGUGUGGCCCCCAAACUUGUGCCAGCUAUCCUGGAACAGCCAAGAAUUCAACUGUGACCUGCUUCCUCCCUCAACCUCUUCUCCCCAACCUCCCCACCACACUUCUUCUUUGGGAAGAUUUGUAAAAAUUAAGGUUAUUAUAUCCAUGUAACUUUCUGUAUUUCUUUUAAACUCCUUGUGCUACUAAGUCACACAGGUUUGACUCCUGGAUCUAAAAAAGUCACCAACUCUGGCUAAAUCUUAAACAUUGACAGCAAUUGAAGCCUCAUCUUCAGACCUAGGAGAAGAUGAAAAUCAGAAUAAGCUGCAGUCAUAAGACAUGGGUCCAGAAAUUAAAACUAUUCAACCCCUCUAGUCCCAGGGACUAUUGCAGAAGAAGUGGGUGUGUGAGCUUGUAAGGAUCCAUUUUAAGAGAUAAAAUUAAUUCAGAGUUUCUCUAUAAAUUAAACAGUUGCAUUUGUUGUUGUUUUGAGACAGUCCAGCUAUGUCAUCUGGGCUGGAGUGCAGUGGCAUUAUCCUGGCUCACUGCAACCUCUGCCUGGCAAGAUUCCUGGCACCUCAGCCUCCCAAGUAGCAGGGACUACAGGGGUGCACCACCAUGCCUGGCUAAUUUUUGUAUUUUUAUAGAGACAAGGUUUCACCAUGUUGCCCAAGCUGGUCUCAAACUCCUGAACUCAAGAUAUCCGCCUGCCUAGGCCUUCCAAAGUGCUGAUUUUACAGCUAUGAGCCACCGUGGCCAGCCUAUAAAUUAAACAUUAAUGUCAAAGGAACACUGAUGCAAGACAAGCAUGUGGGUCCCUGUGUCAGAUUAACAAUGUUUUCUUGGAGCAUUAACACAUUCCUUACUUAAAAAUUAUGAAAGGUUAUGAGAAGGUUUACAAAAAUUAUAUCUUACACUCAAGAUUAUUAAAAUUUAAUAGAUUUGUCUGUAAAUUUAAUUGACUUCAUCCUGUCUUUAUUAGGUUUUAUUGUUUGGGAAAGUAAGUCUCAAAGAGUAAAAGUUUUUGCCUUUUUGUUUUUAAAAUAUUUGAGUUACCACUUUGACUAAAUGAAUGACUUAUUUUACAAUGACCUGUGAUGCUAUUUUGUGAUAUUGUGUUUUCAACCUUUGAUGUUUGACAAACUUUCCAAAAUCUAAAUCUAAAUUCAGGGCUUUGGUCUCACUAAUUUUUUUGACAUUACAUCCCCUGAAAUCCAAAGAGACAUAUUUGGCUUACUUGGUAUAAUAAAAUCUUCGUUAUCAAAUAUGAAAUGAUGUGUAAACUUUUUUGGCUUGUAUUUAUAUAAAUGUGUUAUUAGUAUGUGUUCCAAAAUUGUAUGAGAUUCUUGUGAUUCUGAUAUGUCUUAGAAUAUGUUAUCAGAACUAAUUAUGAUUAUUAUAUUAAAUUGUUAUGUGCCGUAGAUACAACCAAAUUUCCUUGUCAAUUGUGUCUUUAACCAUGGCUGUUCUAAUUCUUUUGUCAUCCACAAUCAUUGUUUUACUUUGAUCCUUUCUUAAGGUGGUUUAUAAUCAGUUAUAGAGCUCUGAGGACUACUCUUUCUUUUUCUUUCACUUUUAUUUUUAAUGAGAUGGGUUCUCGGUCUGUCACCCGGUCUGCAGUGGGGUGGCAUCACUGUUCACUUCAGCCUCAGUCUCCUAGGCUCAAACAAUCCUCCCACCUCAGCCUCCCAAGUAGCUGAGACUACAGGUGCACACCACACACCCAGCUAAUUUUUAAAAUUUUUGCAGAGAUGGAAUCUCCCUAUGUUACCCAGGCUGGUUUCAAACUCCUGAGUUCAAGCAAUCCUGCCACCUCAGCCUCUCAAAGUGCUGGGAUUACAGGCAUGAGCCACCACACCCGGCCUUUUAAUACAUUGUCUCUUCAUUAACAGAUAGUAAGUGUCUAUAUUGUGCUACAAAGUGAUCAAAGUUCCAGACAUAAGUGAUCAACAAGCAGAAAUGGACUUGGCCAUAAAGUGUUUGACACAAUCAGGGGCUGAAAAAAAAUAAAGCAGGAAGCAUGACAACAAAUAAAUAAGACAGUGUUUAUGUGAUAAAUGCUAUCAAGAAACCUAACGCAAGUUAGAUGGAAAGGUAACUAGGAGGAUGCUAUAUUAGCUAGUGUAGUAAAAACAGAAUUAUCAGAGAUACUUCCACUUUGAUAGGAAUAAUGCAACGAACAAAGCAAAGAAAAAAAAAAUCCGGGCCAGGUGCAGUGCUCACCUAUAAUCCUAGCACUUUGGGAGGCCAAGGUGGGCAGAUCAUUGAGGCCAGGAGUUUGACACCAGCCUGGCAAACAUGAUGAAAAUUCAUCUCUACUAAAAAUACAAAUAAAUCAGCUGGGCAUGGUGGCCCGCACCUAUAAUCCCAGCUACUCAAUGGCUGAGGUGGGAGAAUCAUUUGAAUAUGGGAAGUGGAGGUUGCAGAGAGUCAAGAUCACACCACUGCACUCCAGCCUGGGCAAGAGAGCAAGACCCUGUCUCAAAAAAAAAAAAAAAAAAAAAAAAAUCUGAAGGUGGAGUUACCAUCAUGAGAGAAUAUAAAUUACAAAGAUUCUAAGACUAGAACAACUUUAGUAUGGGCUGGGCAUAGUGGCUCACACCAGUUAUCCCAGCACUUUGGGAAGCUAAGGCAGGAGGAUCACUUGAGGCUAGAAUCCCAAAACCAGCCCAAGAAACAUGGUGAAACCCCAUCUCUACACACGCAAAAAAAGUUUUUAAUUACCUGGAUGUGGUGGUGUCCACCUGUAAUGCCAGCCACUCAGGACGCUGAGGCAAAAGGAUUGCUUGAGCCCAGGAGUUGGAGGCUGAAGUGAGCUAUUAUGGUACCACUGCAUUGUAGCCUGAGCUACAGAGUGAGAGGCCCAGUCUCUAAAAUUAAAAAAAAAAAAAAAAAAAAAAAAAAGUUGGCCAGGCGCAGUGGCUCACACCUGUAAUCCCAGCACUUUGGGAGGCCAAGGCGGGCAGAUCACAAGGUCAGGAGUUUGAGACCAGCCUGGCCAACAUGGUGAAACCCGGUCUCUACUAAAGAUACAAAAAAUUAGCCAGGCAUGGUGGCAGUCACCUGUAAUCCCAGCUACUUAGGAAGCUGAGGCAGGAGAAUCGCUUGAAACCUGAAGGCAGAGGUUGCAGUGAGCCGAGAUAGCUAUUGCAGUCCAGCCUGGGUGACAAGGCAAGACUCCAUUAAAAAAAAAAAAAAAAAAAAAAAAAAGUUUAUUACCAUCAGAGUGAACAGGCAACCUACAGAAUGGGAGAAAAUUUUUGCAAUCUACUCAUCUGACAAAGGGCUAAUAUCCAGAAUCUACAAUGAACUCCAACGAAUUUACAAGAAAAAAAAACCCCAUCAAAAAGUGGGCAAAGGAU